UAUAUGCAAUCACGAAGCUCUGCAAUAUGGAAAGUAUAGGCAGGUCUUAUUUCAGAAGGAACAGGGCAGUUCAGGGUCGUUCACAGAGGUUCAGUCCAGCAGGCAUGAGCUGGAUAUUUACUGUCUCAGAAUGGCAUAAAUUUAUUAGAUAUCAAUUUUUGACGACUCUUUAUUUUUAUAUCAGAAACCCAAGUAUAAAACACUAGUUGACUCAUGUGAAAGAAUCAUUGAAACUGUUUAUUGUGUUGUAUAGAAAGAACUAUGCCAAGUAAAGAGUGCAUCUUCCUGUCGUUUUGAUCUGUUGUGGGUAUUGUAUGAAUCUCUGAUCUUAAUAAUUUGGAACCACUGGCAAAAUUUUUUUUCCAUUUUAAAUUUUUUGAGAAUCUGCCAUACAAAUAUCCUUAUAAAUACAGAAUGACAGAUUAAAAUUUCACAUGUAUGUCAUGACAUGAACAUAAUAAAAAGACAUCUCAUGUUUUUUUAUUAUAAACAGCCUAUGAUAUGUAGUUUAAUAUCACCUGUAGAUAUUUACUCUAAGAAGAAAAUAACUUCCUAUAUUUUAUUUACUAGAUGAUGCUAAAACUUACUUUUAUGGUCUGCAUUAUUCUAUUUAAUUUUCUUCUUACUAAGAUUCUGUCUAAACUACCAAGAUGAAUAAUAAAUUCUUCAUGGUGAAAUUAGCCCAUUAUGAGAUACCCAAAGGUAGUUUUAUUCUUCAUUUGAAUAACUGAUAUAUUUUUUGGAAUGUCUGGAUAAAUUUAGAAAUUUAUCAGUAUUCAUGAAUGUAAAAUAUUUUGUUGGUGUUCGUUUCUUAAAUCCUCUAAACCAAAAAGCAAAUUUAAGUCUUCCAAUCCCAAGUUUCUAUGUGCAAAUUAUUUUAGUUCAAAUUCUAUUAAAAAUAUGUUAAAAGGAUGAUUUAAAUCUAUUUUUGAAAACAAAUACUUUUCAGUUUGACUAAUAAUAUGUUAAUUACAAUGAAAUUGACUAAGUCAGAGUUCCAGUUAUAGCUAAAAACCCAACAUAGUGUCUGUAGGGAUGUGGGUUCAAUCCUUGGCCUCUAAGGAUCUUGCAUAAGGUGCAGCAUAGGUAGCAGAUGUGGCUCGGAUCCAGUGUUGCUGUGGUUGUGGCAUAGGCCGGCAGCUGCAGCUUGGAUUUGACCUCAUUCCAGGAACUUCCAUAUGCCACAGGUGCAGCUGUAAAAGGAAAAGCUUUAGAAAAGAAAUUUAAAAAAGAAUUUGACUAAGUCAGACAAUGUUAUAUAUUUGCUAGUGCUUCAAUUUUCAUCAAGAGAGGAAUGAAUAUGACUUAGUAUUGAAAUGCUACCACCAUGUUUAAAUCCAUCUCUGUGCUGUGCAAACAGAAACAACUAAAGCAGCUGUCUGCCUCCUCCACAUUUAGCAGAGCACUCAGUAACUCUCAAAGCUGGCAGGAUUAGAUACUCACUAUAAAACAAGGUUGCCCAAUUCUGUGCUAUAGAUUUUUUUUAAAAUAUCCCACUUUUGAAUAAUAAAAUGCAAAUAUAUGUAAAAUAUGCACACAUUUCCAUUUGCAAGUUAUAAUGAGAAUAUAGGAGAUAAACCAGUUAGUCUACUUAGUAUAGCAGAAUUACCAGUUUAACUCAAUUCACUUAUUAAAGACAUGAUCUUUAUUAAGAACUGAAUCAGAAUGUAUUAUCCAAAAUGAGUUGCCAAACAGUACUUCUUUCCAUCAGUGAGAAAGUUCUACUAACCUUUCCCCCUUUACCAGUUGGGUACUCUGCCUUGUCUUUUAGGUUAUGCCAACAGACCACAGCAGUCUUUUAGAUGGUGAGUAAAAACCAGUUACACAGCUAAAGCUUUAGCAGUGCUAGCCCAGGAGCAUGCUUAAAAAUAUUAUACUAGAAAUAUCCUGACAGUCACAACUUCAGGACAAUUUGGGAACUAACUUCAGCUCAGAUACAAUCUGAAAAUUGGCCUUCCUGCCAAAAAGCUAAACUUUAUAAACUUUUCCCACAGGCAGAGAGAGGACAGAGAAGGACAGACCAAAAGACCAUGUACACACAAAAGGGAAGAUGCUGUGGAAUAUUGACUAUAGUCCAAUACAAAUACCAUUUAUAAAUGUCAUGACAUACAGAGCAUGGUUUUUUCCCCCUGGCACUUGUCACCCUUUUAUUUACCCAUUUUAAAGAGACACAAGACAAUUUUGUAAAGUACUGUAAAAUACCUAAUACUGAAUCUUUCCCUUGGAAACAGGUGAAAUAUACCUUGAGAUGCAUUAAUGACUGUAGCUUGGUAGGUCUGAAUAGCUGCUGUACUUUUUAGAACUUUCUGCCCAGACAAGGCUUGAGUUAUACUUAGAGAAGAAGUGUAAACAUGCCAUGUUUAUCCUCUAUCACAUUCUUCAUAGUCACUAUCUCUCCUCCUGUAUAUCUGAUAGGUUGAACUUGUGCAGACACCAGUUCUGCAUCUAGAGGGGCAAUGGCCCUGUGCAAUGAGCAGGGGAGAAACUAGAGUCAGGAGUUCCCAUUGAGUGUCAGUGGAAAUGAACCCAACUAGGAUCCAUGAAGAUGCAGUUUUUAUCCCUGGCCUAACUCAGUGGGUUAAAGACCCCAGCAUUGCUGUGAGCAGUAGUGUAAGUUGCAGAUAUUGCUCUAAUCUGGUGUUGCUGUAGCUGUGGUGUAGGCUGGCAGCUGUAGCUCCGAUGAUUUGCCCCUUAGCCUGGGAACUUCCAUAUGCCACAGGGGCAGCCCUAAAAAAAGGCAAAACAAAUUAAAAAAAAAUAAAGUCAUUAGGAGUUCCCCUGCAAUGGCUGUAUAUUCACAGAAACAGUGGAAACAAGCCUGUCCUUUUCUUGCAGCCUCAGGUGGGAGCUAGGAGAAAGAGGACUAUAAAUGUUCUCCUAGAUACAAAGGCAAAGAACAAAUAAAUGCAAAAAGAACUAGUGCUCUUUUCACUAAAUUAGUUUAAAAUCCCUAGGACAUUGCAGGUAGCCAUGUGAUGAACAUAACACAGUAAAAGGAAAAUGUUGGGAAGUUUAGCAGAGUACCACAUCAGCUAUUAUUAAUCUGAUGAACUUUUCACUUGUAACAUUUGAAAGUAUGAUUAUCAUAAAGCAUGGAAAAAAAUUCCUGUAGAAGAUAUUUUUAGGAUUUCAGAAUGUAUAAAGAUGGGCAACGUUAAGUAACAAUUUGAAGCUCUGUUAAAUUUUUUCAUGGUUAAGAACUUUUAAUGAAUUGUAUUACAGUUAGGUUGACACACAUCCAAUUACUUUUAAAAAUAGAUAAAAUGUGUGCUCCUGAACAUCUUUGGAAAGUUAUAUUUUAAAGUGACUUUGCUAUAUUGAGGAAUUCUAUAGAAAUCACUGUUUUAAGGCACUUGUAUUCCAAUUAAUGUCCUCUCUUUUCAACCUCUAGGUCUAAUUUUAUUAUUUGUUUACAGAAGGUAAGUGCUUACGAACAAAAUAUAUUUUAGCUGUACAAUAUAUGGAGUCUGUGGAAAAACAAAACUGGCUUAAAAAUUCCUGGAAGAUUUCAGCUUUUGGAUGUGAUGAAGUACUUGGGACCAGAUUUGUCAUUCUCUCAUGAACAUCUACAAAAUCAAACAUAAUAGACGACACUUCUGUACCAAAAUAUGGGACAACAGGCAGCAUGAUUGUGACCCAUUGAGAUAAGGGACAGAAAUAAGGCAAAUUUAGGUCCCAGCUUUCUGCCUGGAGGCACCCUCCAGACCACGCACAGGAGGAUAAAUCAAAGUGCAACAUGAUGAUUCACUGAGUGAAAGAGUCAGAGGAGAAAGCUCAGGGAGGUCAAUGUGACUGUAAUUCAGAGAUAUUGGAGCUAUGCAAAUGGAGUUCCCCAAAAUCUCUCCAAGAGGCCCCUGGAGCUGGUUACUGAAUACUAAGCAAAACUGUGAGGUCAGGUAAAGAGCGAACGGGGAGCUGUAAGGGAGAAAUUCCCAGAGCUUGUUCAGGUCUGGGAGAUGUUUGAGUCUGACACAGACUUUGGAGUCUUCUUGGAAACUUGAAGACAUUCUGGAUACACCUUAUAAGAGUUACAUCUUACUAGCGUGGGAAUGCUGCUAUUCCAAGAGGCCUGCAGUGGUCCACACCUCUUGGGAUUCAUGAACUCUCCCCCUUAACUGUGAGCAAGGCUUGGUGACUUGCAUAUCAUUAAUAGGGUACAAUGAAGUAAUGAUAGCUUAUUUCUGAGAUUAGAUUAAAAGAUGCUGGCUUGACAGUUCCCUUUAUAACUCAGCAGAUUAAGACCUGACAUAGUGUCCAUGAUGAUGCAGGUUCAAUCCCUGGCUUCUCUCAGUGAGUUAAGGAUCUGGCGUUGCUGAAAUCUGCUCCACAGGUUGCAGAAGCAACUAUGAUCUGGUGUUGCUGUGGCCAUGGUGUAGGUCUGCAGUUGCAGCUUUGAUUCAGUCCGUAGCCUGAGAAUUUCCAUAUGCCACAGGCACAGCCCUAAAAAGA
This 4449-nucleotide long non-coding RNA is filed under the name Sus scrofa (pig). RNAcentral's name for it is "lncRNA (ENSSSCG00000058035.1)". The record is from RNAcentral. Lineage: Eukaryota; Metazoa; Chordata; Mammalia; Artiodactyla; Suidae.